RNAcentral lists this ribosomal RNA (1355 nucleotides) under uncultured bacterium. Its description in RNAcentral is "bacterial SSU rRNA". It matches the Rfam family "Bacterial small subunit ribosomal RNA", at positions 28 to 1381 of the family's 1533-position model. The record is from RNAcentral.
AUUGAACGCUGGCGGCAGGCUUAACACAUGCAAGUCGAACGAUGAUUAUCUAGCUUGCUAGAUAUGAUUAGUGGCGGACGGGUGAGUAACGUUUAGGAAUCUGCCUAGUAGUGGGGGAUAGCUCGGGGAGACUCGAAUUAAUACCGCAUACGACCUACGGGUGAAAGGGGGCGCAAGCUCUUGCUAUUAGAUGAGCCUAAAUCAGAUUAGCUAGUUGGUGGGGUAAAGGCCCACCAAGGCGACGAUCUGUAACUGGUCUGAGAGGAUGAUCAGUCACACCGGAACUGAGACACGGUCCGGACUCCUACGGGAGGCAGCAGUGGGGAAUAUUGGACAAUGGGGGCAACCCUGAUCCAGCCAUGCCGCGUGUGUGAAGAAGGCCUUUUGGUUGUAAAGCACUUUAAGCAGGGAGGAGAGGCUAAUGGUUAAUACCCAUUAGAUUAGACGUUACCUGCAGAAUAAGCACCGGCUAACUCUGUGCCAGCAGCCGCGGUAAUACAGAGGGUGCGAGCGUUAAUCGGAAUUACUGGGCGUAAAGCGAGUGUAGGUGGCUCAUUAAGUCACAUGUGAAAUCCCCGGGCUUAACCUGGGAACUGCAUGUGAUACUGGUGGUGCUAGAAUAUGUGAGAGGGAAGUAGAAUUCCAGGUGUAGCGGUGAAAUGCGUAGAGAUCUGGAGGAAUACCGAUGGCGAAGGCAGCUUCCUGGCAUAAUAUUGACACUGAGAUUCGAAAGCGUGGGUAGCAAACAGGAUUAGAUACCCUGGUAGUCCACGCCGUAAACGAUGUCUACUAGCCGUUGGGGUCCUUGAGACUUUAGUGGCGCAGUUAACGCGAUAAGUAGACCGCCUGGGGAGUACGGCCGCAAGGUUAAAACUCAAAUGAAUUGACGGGGGCCCGCACAAGCGGUGGAGCAUGUGGUUUAAUUCGAUGCAACGCGAAGAACCUUACCUGGUCUUGACAUAGUGAGAAUCCUGCAGAGAUGCGGGAGUGCCUUCGGGAAUUCACAUACAGGUGCUGCAUGGCUGUCGUCAGCUCGUGUCGUGAGAUGUUGGGUUAAGUCCCGCAACGAGCGCAACCCUUUUCCUUAUUUGCCAGCGGGUUAAGCCGGGAACUUUAAGGAUACUGCCAGUGACAAACUGGAGGAAGGCGGGGACGACGUCAAGUCAUCAUGGCCCUUACGACCAGGGCUACACACGUGCUACAAUGGUAGGUACAGAGGGUUGCUACACAGCGAUGUGAUGCUAAUCUCAAAAAGCCUAUCGUAGUCCGGAUUGGAGUCUGCAACUCGACUCCAUGAAGUCGGAAUCGCUAGUAAUCGCAGAUCAGAAUGCUGCGGUGAAUACGUUCCCGGGCCU